Molecule: ribosomal RNA, 235 nt
Filed under: uncultured bacterium
Lineage: Bacteria
Description: partial 16S ribosomal RNA
Rfam family: Bacterial small subunit ribosomal RNA
Source: RNAcentral
GACGAACGCUGGCGGCGUGCUUAACACAUGCAAGUCGAGCGGUAAGGCCCUUUCGGGGUACGACGAGCGGCGAACGGGUGAGUAACACGUGGGUGACCUCGCCCUCCAGCUCCUGGGAGUAAGACCUGGGAAACCGGGUACUAAUACUGGAUAUGACUCCAUGACGCAUGUUGUGGGGUGGAAAGCCUUGUGCGGCUGAGGAUGGGCCCGCGGCCUAUCAGCUUGUUGGUGGGGU